GCCCGUAGAAAUUUACAGCCGGCGCCGUGUUCGCCGUGGCAGGAGCUUGCACUAGGAGCGCAGCCUCCAGCCGCUGUUCGGGAGAGUUAUGGCCGUGAUAAACCCGCCGGGCUGCCGCGCCUCGGAAGAGUGAGGGCUCUUAGGUUUGGGACUCAGGGUGUGCAGUGAGGAGGAAAUGAACUGAAGCCGAGGUGACCUCAGUGGCCCUCCCGGACUGUGGCGGUGAGCAGCGGGAGAGCCAGCAGGCGAGGAGGAGAAGGCUUUUAAUGAAGUUGUGCCGAGGGCCGCAGAGGUGGGCUGCUGGGAACGCACCUCUCCUCCCAAAGGCAAACGCAAAACGGGGCGAGUCAUCCUGAUCAAGGGCCCCCCACAGCCCCCCGACCCCGGGCUGCCUGGCUGCCUCUCAGACCUGGGGCCGGUGCUUUUGGGCCUGCAAGGUGGGCCCCAGGGAGGUGUGUGUGUGUGUGUGUGUGUGUGUGUGUGUUUUCUGCAGUCUUGCUCCAGCCCGGCUCUUCCUAAGCACCCACGUGGUCCUUGACUCCUAACCCUUCAUGAUGGGUUAAGAACAGCCCACUUUUACAGACAGACAAUCGAGGCACAGAGCUGCAAGUUAACCAGUGCUGGUUCAGGAACUGAGACGGUGGACGGGCCGUUCUCCAAGCCCUGCCCGGGCUGCCUCUCUGAGGUUGUGUGUGUGUGUGUGUGUGUGUGUGUGUGAUGGAGAGGCCCCUGGUCCUACAGUGUGCAGUGCUGCGGUGGCCUCCUGACUGGUUUGGGAUGGUGCAGUGGCCUGCACACCCUGGGGCUUGGGUUCUGCUCUGACUCCUUUCGACGUGUGUAACCUGCCUCCUCACCCAGGAAAUGUGCGUGGUGAGGACUACAGAAAAUGUGUUAGAACGUUCUGUGCUUCACGUGACAAAGCAGGUGUUCUGUGAAUAGCCUUCUCUUGGUCGAUGCUUGUUUCUGUCCUAAGAAGUGACAUCUGGCAGAAUUAACCAGGUCCGGUAGCCAGGGCAUCUGCUUCCUCUUGCCCUGUUUCCAGGUCCACAGAGCGUCCUGACGGACAUCUUGGGGGUUCCUCUUAUCAACUGUGGGUAGGGUUCUCCUUGUCACGGGUUCCAGCCCCGUGACUGAUCUCCAGUGGCCACCAUGGUCCUGACUCUCUGUUACUGUCUGAAUCAACUCAAAGUCCUCUGCCCAGGCAGGGAGGCCCCGUGAGAAACAGCUAGGAGGGAGGAGCUCCCUGCUUCGAGGGAAAGUCCACUCUGCUUGGUUUUCCUGGAGCACAGAUUGCAAAAUGGGAAGUUUGGGGAGGGGCUCAGGGCCAGACUCCAGGAGGUGGCCAGAACUCGUGGUCCACCUUCCAAAGUGAGAGUUUGACCUUGACAGGAGCCUUGGAGGGUGCCUUCUGGGCAGGAAUCGGGUCACGUUAGGGAGCUCAACCCAGCACCUGUGUGGAGGACGGAUGGGAGGAGAGAGAGACCAGAAGCCGGCCACUCCACGGUCCCAGCAUGCCCAGGGCAGGGCCCGAGGAGAUCUGGCCCGUCCACCUCUGGGCUUCUCUCCCGUUUCUCUGCUGUGUGCCCACUGUGAUCCUGCCUCCCUUUCCCACGCUGUCCCUCAAACCAAACAAGGAUGCUCCUGCACCAGACAGGUCCCCGGCUGCUGCCCGUCCUGAUGCCCUCCCCUUGAGGGUCUGCAUGGCCUCCGGUCUCUGUUUGCUGAAGGGGCUUCACCAGGCUCUCUGCAUCCAAGAAUCCCUGACCCCUGGCUCUCCUCCUCCUCUGCCCUGGGCUUCUCUUCCCUGGCACUUAACACCACGGGACCCAGACCUGAUCAUCUGCCUCUCCCCACUGGAGUGUAACCCCAAGGCAGGGCCAGGCUCUGUCUUAUUCUCUGCUCUUUUGGUAGCGCCAGACACUCAACCAUGCAUGGAAGGAACAAUGAAUCGGGCGAUAACUCACCAUGGAGGUGGCUGUGAGCGGGGAGGGGUUUCAGGGCACAACUCACAUUCCCUACGGCGCACCUACGCUCACGGCGAACAGCGGAUUUGGGGCUGUAAGCGCUGAACACAAGUCUCCCCCAUGGGCGGUGCUGGGGAAGGCUCAGUGCUGGAAACAGGUCCCCGCAGACUCUGUGACAGUGUGGUUUGUAGAGGGGUGCCAGGUGGAGCAGCUGGAGUCCUGUCAAGACAGACUGAAGCUCUCAGCCCUUUGUGCCCUGUUCCUUCCUUCCGGCGGCGCUGACAUUGCUCUUGAGUGGUGAGUAAUUGGAGCCUCAGGGCCACCUCUCCUCUGGUGGCUGUGCACAGCUCCGGCGCUCCAGGCAGCGUGCUGCGAUAAGAAGAGAACAUUGCAAUGCCCUGGCACAAACCAAGGGUCAACACCUGCUUG
This 2393-nucleotide long non-coding RNA is filed under the name Marmota monax (woodchuck). The record is from RNAcentral. Lineage: Eukaryota; Metazoa; Chordata; Mammalia; Rodentia; Sciuridae.